GACGAACGCUGGCGGCGUGCUUAACACAUGCAAGUCGAACGGAAAGGCCCUGCUUUUGUGGGGUGCUCGAGUGGCGAACGGGCGAGUAACACGUGAGUAACCUGCCCUUGACUUUGGGAUAACUUCAGGAAACUGGGGCUAAUACCGGAUAGGAGCUCCUGCUGCAUGGUGGGGGUUGGAAAGUUUCGGCGGUUGGGGAUGGACUCGCGGCUUAUCAGCUUGUUGGUGGGGUAGUGGCUUACCAAGGCUUUGACGGGUAGCCGGCCUGAGAGGGUGACCGGCCACAUUGGGACUGAGAUACGGACCAGACUCGUACGGGAGGCAGCAGUGGGAAGUAUUGCACAGUGGGCGGAAGCCUGAUGCAGCAGCGCCGCGUGCGGGAAGACGGCCUUCGGGUUAUGAACCGCUUUCGCCUGUGACGAAGCGUGAGUGACGGUAAUGGGUAAAGAAGCACCGGCUAACUACGUG
This 468-nucleotide ribosomal RNA is filed under the name uncultured bacterium. RNAcentral describes it as "partial 16S ribosomal RNA". It matches the Rfam family "Bacterial small subunit ribosomal RNA", at positions 28 to 507 of the family's 1533-position model. The record is from RNAcentral.